This 274-nucleotide ribosomal RNA is filed under the name uncultured bacterium. RNAcentral describes it as "partial 16S ribosomal RNA". It matches the Rfam family "Bacterial small subunit ribosomal RNA", at positions 523 to 796 of the family's 1533-position model. The record is from RNAcentral.
CUACGGAGGGUGCAAGCGUUAAUCGGAAUUACUGGGCGUAAAGCGUACGUAGGCGGCAAGUUAAGUUAGAUGUGAAAGCCCCGGGCUCAACCUGGGAACUGCAUUUAAAACUGGCUUGCUAGAGUUGAGUAGAGGGGAGUGGAAUUUCAGGUGUAGCGGUGAAAUGCGUAGAGAUCUGAAGGAACACCAGUGGCGAAGGCGACUCCCUGGACUCGAACUGACGCUGAGGUACGAAAGCGUGGGUAGCAAACGGGAUUAGAAACCCUAGUAGUCC